Long non-coding RNA from Lycium ferocissimum, 3669 nucleotides. RefSeq lists it as uncharacterized. The transcript has 2 exons. NCBI's taxonomy places the organism in Eukaryota, Viridiplantae, Streptophyta, Magnoliopsida, Solanales, Solanaceae. The record is from RefSeq and is a predicted model, not a curated record.
AGAACCAAACGACCCCUUACCUUAUCUCUUCUCACUUCAAGACCUAGAUACCCUAGCUCCUUCCAUCACUUCACAGCCACCACACCCUUAGGACCGUCGGUCAAAUGCUUCCACCGACGCUGCUUCCUCACAUCACCUCAUCCAUCACCUUUUUCCUAACAUUUGAGAGCUAUCACAGCUCUGUUGAUGUCUGCGAAAGGGAAAACUCGAAGAUCUUUCGGGUUGAAGCUUACUUUGUCUUCAAUUCAAUGGGUAUAGACACAAAUCGACUCAAACGGCUCGAAAGGACUCAUCCCAUCACAUCACCUUUGCAAAAGGUGCGAAAUUGACUCCCUCUUCACCAUUUUUUUCUUCAGAAUUCUCUUAAGUUUCCCACUUUUUUAUUUGUUUGAAAUUCAAACUCAAAGCUUCUCAUGGAAGCCGUUGAGUCCCCCUAAUCUCAGCCUAUAAAUACAGACCCCUUGGCUGUGUUUAAGGAGAGAAGUUUCUUGACAGCUAAAAAAUCCCCUUAAAGUUAACAAUUGGAAAAUAUGCCCUUUUCUUUUCAUAAAGUUCACAACUAGAGAAAAUCUCAACUAGAGAAAAUCUCUCUUUACUAUAAGCUUGGAUUCUUAGAAAAUCAACCUUUAACUCUAAGUCUUUUGGCUGUCUAAAAAUCUUCUUUCAAGUUCUCAGCUAAACAACAAACUACUUCGAGCGGAUUCGAGGACUCGACGACAACAAUAGCCUCAGUUCGCUAUCCCUGUCCCAGAGAAGGUCAGUAAUCGACCUCAACUUUCCUUUAAUUUCAGUUUGUAGAUAAAGUUUCCAGGAUGUUAUCGUACUUCGUUUGAUUUUCUAUUUUGAGGGUAUAUCUAGAACCUGCAAAUCUUGUUUCCUUGUUUAGAUUUUUGUUUAAAGGGGAUUAGAAUCAGUGUUCUUCUUCUUAUUUUGAUGAAAUCAGUAUGUAAGAAUGGCCUUGAAGUGAAUUAAGAACGUUAAGGGAAAUAUUUCAUAACCUGUCGAAUACAUGAACAAUUGCAUCGCUAGUUUAAAUUAUGUUUUAAAUUCUUUUUAAAAAAAAUAAAAUAAGAGGCAAACUACUUUGCUAUGGUUUUAUAUUAUGAAAUAUGGGUUGUUGAGAACUAAUCUAUUUUGGUAAGCUCUGUUAGACCUAAGUGUGUGUUAUUCCCCUGUUGAGUAUCACAGGAUUAAUGAAAGUCUUUUAGUUUUAAUUACAAUGUUGUGAUAAGUGUCUUGUUGAGCGUCUUUUCUGCUUGCUAUCCCUAUGUGAUAAACAGCACCGUAUCUUUAGCUAAAUUUGUAUAUGUAGUGAAGGCAUGUUGUGAAUUUACAUUAUGAUUGCUCUUCUGAUAUACACAGGGCUUUAUAUUUGAAAAAAAAAACUUGCUUCCUUUUCUUUGAAGAAAUUAAAAAAAAAAAAGACUAAGUUUGGGAUCUUGUAAUAGACAUGUAAUAUAGGCCUGUAGGCUGUCUUGUAUUCAUUUAUAAGAACGGAUCAUGGAAAAUUGUUUAAAGCUUGAUCAUUAUUUGUUUCUCUUGUGUGUCCAUUUUAAAAAUAGCAAAAAAAUGUGAAAUGGAUAAGUUGUUGUGUAUUACCUGACUCUGGAUGGGACUUAUCUUGAGUUAGUGUUGUGUUAUGUUGUAAGAUUAAAAAAAAAAAGAGAUUCUGUUAUUGACAAUGAAUAGUUUUUGUCAAACACCUUGUCUAGUAUCUGAACCAUCCUCUUUGGUUUUGUUCUGUUCACGUUACUAGGAAUGGUUUUUUAAUUCAAUGAGGAACAACAUGUUGGUGGAAUCUGGUUUGCCCUUUUUAAAAUGUAUAGUCAUUUGUAUUCUUAGCCUAUAUUGCUAGCAAACUCUUUUCAAGAUAACAAGUUACGAGAUUUCUAAAUUUUGGGUAGAGUUUAUUAUGAGUUUCUUAGUUUGGCUGCAGGUUUUUGAUGAACUCAAUCAUUCACAAAAAUAAAAAUCUAAAAUUUGUUUGCUUGUCUAUUUACUUGUGUGAAUGGAACAUCAGUACUUGAAUAUAGUAACUAUCUUUGUGUUCUUAUGAGUUGUUGAUGAUGAGAACUUGUCUAAAGGCAAAAGUUGCUAAGAUUUGUGAAAACUUUGGCUGUUUGUUUUCUUUAAAAAUUAUAGGAGAUAACAUCGAAUACCAUAUCUUUUAUGAGCUUUUUUUUACAAGCUGAACUGCUUCUUGCUGGAAAAAAAAAUUCCAAAACUGCGAAGGAUGUAUUCAUGACUAAGUUACUAUUGUGUCUUUUCUUCUAAAACUAGCAAAUGUCUACGAUAGUAAAGUGGUCAUGCAUUACUUAAGUUUUGGGAAAAACUUAUCUUAAGUUGAUGUUGUGUUAUGUCAGAAGGUAAAAAUGAGGUUCUGGUGUGAAUUUUGAACACUUUAUGUUAAACAUGUGGCCACCCUCUCUGGUUUCAUUUUUUUAUUCAAAGUCAUGUUGGCAUGAUGUUUGGCUUUGUAGAAGGGAUAACUUUGAUUCUUGUUUUCCCUGUAUGAUGCAUAAUACGAUGAAGGAAUUCCCUCAUAAGUCUCGAAGGUAUAGACUAAUGAAUUGGUGGUUAAAUAGAUAUAUGUAGUGUUGUGUCAUUCAUAGAUUAAUAAGGAAUAAAACAACUGGAAGAUAUGAUAGUAAGUGUCCUUAUUUCUGUUUAAAUAGCUAAAUAAGUGUGAGAGAGGUCUUGAAAUAUGUCAGGAUUAUUUUGGAACAUUCAUGAAGUUGAUAAAACUGUAUUUGUUUUGAAUUAAAAUGCAGUGUUACUCUGUUCUGUUUUAUCCUUCCUCUUAUUAAAGAAUCUGAAAAUUCUGAGCAUUAGAAUAAGGCAAUAUAAGAUUUGGAAUAUGUUCUUGAAGUAACACGAACCAUGUUUGUUCAUACUCGUCAAUAUGUUCAAGUCCAGUGUCUGUUUCUUAUUUCCUUUGUCUGUCCCUAAGAUGUUGCUAGCAUGAACUUGUAGAGCAAGUUGGGUUUGCUAAGGUUUAUUUUCUAUCUUGUCACUGGUUCUGUUUUGGUAUUGCUCCUAGCCCCUUCAUAAGUCUUGAAAUAAAUCGAGAUUUUGGUGAAUGAAAACUUUGUGCAAUUUUUUAGUUCAAACAACUUUAGCAUGUUUUCUUAGUAUUUGUGUGCUUUCUCCCUGAUGAAAAUUAUGGGUAUUUUAAGUUAUUGAAUAUGCUCGGUUUAUUUCAAACUUUUAAUAACUGUGAAUAGCAUAAAUCAUUCUUUUGGCAGAUUAAAUGGACACCGUGUUGGAAGAUUUCUAGAAAUCUGUUUAGUCUUAGCGUAUAAUUGUAUAUGUCUUGCUAUUUAAUUUGAGGAUUCAUAUGUUUGUCAUAAGCUACUAAUCCUUAUCCUUUUCUUUUUUUACAUGGAAUACAUGGAGCACCUUGAGACUGAGCUAUAACCUGCGUCUGCUCCACUCCGUUCCUCUCCAGUCACUAUUUCUUACUUCUUGCGUUGGAGUCUCCUAGUUCGGCAUUGGAUUCUUGAAAGAGAUGUCCAGCUUCUUCUCUCUUCUUUUGGCCUCGCAUUUCCUUGUUAUUGUAUUUGUUGCAUUACUUGAACUAACAGUUGCCUUUUGAGUUUUGGUAUUGAUACACUUUUGUUUGUGACUCAAUUUUCUAUAGAACUUUCAGGUGUGAUUUGGCAAAGCUUA